Long non-coding RNA from Oncorhynchus tshawytscha (Chinook salmon), 718 nucleotides. Lineage: Eukaryota; Metazoa; Chordata; Actinopteri; Salmoniformes; Salmonidae. The record is from Ensembl.
CACCAGCAGAUGGAGACAGUCCCCUGGAAACCUGUAGCAUUCUUCACCACCAGACAGACUGAGGACAAGACAACCCCAGGUUAUUUUAAUUAAGUUUAUUGUUAUAUGGCAAUACGUUCCAGGCACUUUAAACUUCAACCAGAUCAAAGUACCUCCUCUCCUUCUCAAUGUUUUACUACAACAGGACAAUACACUUACCAGCUCCAACACUUUACAGUACAUAUAAGGAAAAACAAUGAUAUUUGCAUUAAAAACUAUACCUCGAUAAAUAUAUAUCUUCAUGUAACAUUAAGAAGUAAUAGGAAAUAUUCAAAAUAUUGUGAUUUUUAAAUACAUACAAAUUAAAUAGAUUUGUAUAAAAGUAGAAUUUAUAUCCAAUCCAUAGAAGAUUGAGUUACAAUUAUACAUUUGAGAAGGUGCGGUGUACAGAUACAGGCCCAUUAAAGGUGGUAGAGUACACAUACAGGCCCAUUAAAGGUGUGGUGUACACAUACAGGUCCAUUAAAGGUGGUAGAGAACACAUACAGGCCCAUUAAAGGUGUGGUGUACACAUACAGGUCCAUUAAAGGUGGUAGAGUACACAUACAGGCCCAUUAAAGGUGGUAGAGAACACAUACAGGCCCAUUAAAGGUGGUAGAGUACACAUACAGGCCCAUUAAAGGUGUGGUGUACACAUACAGGUCCAUUAAAGGUGGUAGAGUACACAGGCCCAUUAAAG